UCCGGCGAACAUACUGACGGGGUCCCACCCGUUCCCAUUCCGAACACGGCCGUUAAGCCCGUCAGGCCCAUGAUAGUGCCUUUGGCGCGAAAGUCGGUGAUCGCCGGAA
Ribosomal RNA from Singulisphaera acidiphila DSM 18658, 109 nucleotides. The record is from Rfam. NCBI's taxonomy places the organism in Bacteria, Pseudomonadati, Planctomycetota, Planctomycetia, Isosphaerales, Isosphaeraceae.